This 492-nucleotide ribosomal RNA is filed under the name uncultured bacterium. Its description in RNAcentral is "partial 16S ribosomal RNA". It matches the Rfam family "Bacterial small subunit ribosomal RNA", at positions 29 to 507 of the family's 1533-position model. The record is from RNAcentral.
AGUGAACGCUGGCGGUAGGCCUAACACAUGCCAGUCGAACGGCAGCACAGUAAGAGCUUGCUCUUACGGGUGGCGAGUGGCGGACGGGUGAGGAAUACAUCGGAAUCUACUUUUUCGUGGGGGAUAACGUAGGGAAACUUACGCUAAUACCGCAUACGACCUACGGGUGAAAGCAGGGGAUCUUCGGACCUUGCGCGAUUGAAUGAGCCGAUGUCGGAUUAGCUAGUUGGCGGGGUAAAGGCCCACCAAGGCGACGAUCCGUAGCUGGUCUGAGAGGAGGAUCAGCCACACUGGAACUGAGACACGGUCCAGACUCCUACGGGAGGCAGCAGUGGGGAAUAUUGGACAAUGGGCGCAAGCCUGAUCCAGCCAUACCGCGUGGGUGAAGAAGGCCUUCGGGUUGUAAAGCCCUUUUGUUGGGAAAGAAAAGCAGCAGGUUAAUACCCCGCUGUUCUGACGGUACCCAAAGAAUAAGCACCGGCUAACUUCGUG